GAUGAACGCUGGCGGCGUGCCUAAUACAUGCAAGUCGAGCGAACAGACGAGGAGCUUGCUCCUCUGACGUUAGCGGCGGACGGGUGAGUAACACGUGGAUAACCUACCUAUAAGACUGGGAUAACUUCGGGAAACCGGAGCUAAUACCGGAUAAUAUAUUGAACCGCAUGGUUCAAUAGUGAAAGACGGUUUUGCUGUCACUUAUAGAUGGAUCCGCGCCGCAUUAGCUAGUUGGUAAGGUAACGGCUUACCAAGGCGACGAUGCGUAGCCGACCUGAGAGGGUGGUCGGCCCCACUGGAACUGAGACACGGUCCCGACUCCUAAGGGAGGCAGCAGUAGGGAAUCUUCCGCAAUGGGCGAAAGCCUGACGGAGCAACGCCGCGUGAGUGAUGAAGGUCUUCGGAUCGUAAAACUCUGUUAUUAGGGAAGAAAAAAAGUGUAAGUAAAUAUGCACGUCUUGACGGUACCUAAUCAGAAAGCCACGGCUAACUACGUG
Molecule: ribosomal RNA, 497 nt
Filed under: uncultured bacterium
Lineage: Bacteria
Description: partial 16S ribosomal RNA
Rfam family: Bacterial small subunit ribosomal RNA
Source: RNAcentral